Molecule: long non-coding RNA, 114 nt
Organism: Thalassophryne amazonica
Lineage: Eukaryota; Metazoa; Chordata; Actinopteri; Batrachoidiformes; Batrachoididae
Exons: 3
Source: RefSeq, a predicted model, not a curated record
CAUUUUAUUUUGUAAUAUACAUCAAUUCCUGCAUUUCAGACCUGCAACCCUUUCCAAAAAACAGCUGGGAAGAGGGCAGUUUAGGGCUAGUAAUGAGAUAAAAUAAAAGCAUGA